CAGCAGCCGCGGUAAUACGGAGGGUGCAAGCGUUAAUCGGAAUUACUGGGCGUAAAGCGCACGCAGGCGGUUUGUUAAGUCAGAUGUGAAAUCCCCGAGCUUAACUUGGGAACUGUAUUUGAAACUGGCAAGCUAGAGUCUUGUAGAGGGGGGUAGAAUUCCAGGUGUAGCGGUGAAAUGCGUAGAGAUCUGGAGGAAUACCGGCGGCGAAGGCGGCCCCCUGGACAAAGACUGACGCUCAGGUGCGAAAGCGUGGGGAGCAAACAGGAUUAGAUACCCCAGUAGUCCCUGUCUCUUAUAC
This 301-nucleotide ribosomal RNA is filed under the name uncultured bacterium. Its description in RNAcentral is "partial 16S ribosomal RNA". It matches the Rfam family "Bacterial small subunit ribosomal RNA", at positions 509 to 807 of the family's 1533-position model. The record is from RNAcentral.